This 807-nucleotide ribosomal RNA is filed under the name uncultured Alphaproteobacteria bacterium. RNAcentral describes it as "bacterial SSU rRNA". It matches the Rfam family "Bacterial small subunit ribosomal RNA", at positions 25 to 865 of the family's 1533-position model. Lineage: Bacteria; Pseudomonadati; Pseudomonadota; Alphaproteobacteria. The record is from RNAcentral.
CAGAACGAACGCUGGCGGCAGGCUUAACACAUGCAAGUCGAACGCUCUCUUCGGAGGGAGUGGCAGACGGGUGAGUAACGCGUGGGAAUCUACCUUGUGGUACGGAACAACACAGAGAAAUUUGUACUAGUACCGAAUACGCCCCCUUUUAGAGAUACUGGGGGGGAAAGAUUUAUCGCCAUAGGAUGAGCCCGCGUUUGAUUAGCUAGUUGGUGAGGUAAUGGCUCACCAAGGCGACGAUCAAUAGCUGGUCUGAGAGGAUGAUCAGCCACACUGGGACUGAGACACGGCCCAGACUCCUACGGGAGGCAGCAGUGGGGAAUAUUGGACAAUGGGCGCAAGCCUGAUCCAGCCAUGCCGCGUGAGUGAUGAAGGCCCUAGGGUUGUAAAGCUCUUUCAACGGUGAAGAUAAUGACGGUAACCGUAGAAGAAGCCCCGGCUAACUUCGUGCCAGCAGCCGCGGUAAUACGAAGGGGGCUAGCGUUGUUCGGAAUAACUGGGCGUAAAGCGCACGUAGGCGGAUUGUUAAGUGAGGGGUGAAAUCCCAGGGCUCAACCCUGGAACUGCCUUUCAUACUGGCAAUCUAGAGAUCGAGAGAGGUGAGUGGAAUUCCGAGUGUAGAGGUGGAAUUCGUAGAUAUUCGGAGGAACACCAGUGGCGAAGGCGGCUCACUGGCUCGAUACUGACGCUGAGGUGCGAAAGCGUGGGUAGCAAACAGGAUUAGAUACCCUGGUAGUCCACGCCGUAAACGAUGGAAGCUAGCUGUCGGACAGUUUACUGUUCGGUGGCGCAGCUAACGCAUUAAGC